UGAAGGAGUUAUCCCCAAAAUUGAAAUAUUGGUGGUGGGCAAUGAGGAGACCUCCAUCACCACCCUCUUGCUCUUGGGCAAUCCUUCGGCGACUGUGGACUUGGGGAGAGUAGGCUCCCCUUCAGCUUCUUCCCCUCAUCCUCAUCUAGGAAGGAGAGAUCAGCCUCAGGGAUCCGAGUAACAACUCAAUGGUCGCAAUCCUCAUAUCCAGUCUCAUACCCCAC
RNAcentral lists this long non-coding RNA (224 nucleotides) under Elaeis guineensis (African oil palm). Its description in RNAcentral is "long non-coding RNA (EGUI_LNC037391)". Lineage: Eukaryota; Viridiplantae; Streptophyta; Magnoliopsida; Arecales; Arecaceae. The record is from RNAcentral.